This 253-nucleotide ribosomal RNA is filed under the name uncultured bacterium. Its description in RNAcentral is "partial 16S ribosomal RNA". It matches the Rfam family "Bacterial small subunit ribosomal RNA", at positions 524 to 776 of the family's 1533-position model. The record is from RNAcentral.
UACGAAGGGGGCUAGCGUUGCUCGGAAUUACUGGGCGUAAAGCGCACGUAGGCGGCUUUCUAAGUCGGGGGUGAAAUCCUGGAGCUCAACUCCAGAACUGCCUUCGAUACUGGAGAGCUCGAGUCCGGGAGAGGUGAGUGGAACUGCGAGUGUAGAGGUGAAAUUCGUAGAUAUUCGCAAGAACACCAGUGGCGAAGGCGGCUCACUGGCCCGGUACUGACGCUGAGGCGCGAAAGCCAGGGGAGCAAACAGG